AUUGGAGGAAAUUUUAAUAUUUUUGAAAGUGUAUUUUGUAAGAAAACUAGAUUUUUAUUUUUGAGUCGACCCCAUGAGUCGACUCAUGGCUUAAAGGGCUGAACGGCACGCUGAAAUUUUGGUUGGCACUCUCUGUGAGUCGACCCCAUGGGUCAAUCCCUUGGCAUGAGUCGACCCUAUGAGUCGACCUCUGCUGCUUUGCAGGUCAAAAUUACAGAAC
RNAcentral lists this long non-coding RNA (220 nucleotides) under Elaeis guineensis (African oil palm). RNAcentral describes it as "long non-coding RNA (EGUI_LNC075862)". The record is from RNAcentral. Lineage: Eukaryota; Viridiplantae; Streptophyta; Magnoliopsida; Arecales; Arecaceae.